RNAcentral lists this ribosomal RNA (301 nucleotides) under uncultured bacterium. RNAcentral's name for it is "partial 16S ribosomal RNA". It matches the Rfam family "Bacterial small subunit ribosomal RNA", at positions 509 to 808 of the family's 1533-position model. The record is from RNAcentral.
CAGUAGCCGCGGUAAUACGUAGGGUGCAAGCGUUAAUCGGAAUUACUGGGCGUAAAGCGUGCGCAGGCGGUUCGCUAAGACAGAUGUGAAAUCCCCGGGCUUAACCUGGGAACUGCAUUUGUGACUGGCGGGCUAGAGUAUGGCAGAGGGGGGUAGAAUUCCACGUGUAGCAGUGAAAUGCGUAGAGAUGUGGAGGAAUACCGAUGGCGAAGGCAGCCCCUGGGCCAAUACUGACGCUCAUGCACGAAAGCGUGGGGAGCAAACAGGAUUAGAUACCCCGGUAGUCCCUGUCUCUUAUACA